This 72-nucleotide transfer RNA is filed under the name Phycisphaerales bacterium. RNAcentral's name for it is "tRNA-Gly". It matches the Rfam family "tRNA". From Rfam's summary of the family: Transfer RNA (tRNA) molecules are approximately 80 nucleotides in length. The record is from RNAcentral. Lineage: Bacteria; Pseudomonadati; Planctomycetota; Phycisphaerae; Phycisphaerales.
GCGGGCGUAGCUCAGUGGUAGAGCGUCAGCCUUCCAAGCUGAACGUCGGGGGUUCGAAUCCCCUCGCCCGCU